AACGCACAUUGCGCCCUUUGGUAUUCCGAAGGGCAUGCCUGUUCGAGCGUCAUUGCAAACCCUCAAGCACCGCUUGGUCUUGGGCGCCGGUCCCCGCGGACCCGCCCGUAACCCGUCGGCGGCCCCGUCCGGCUCUAAGCGUAGCAAGAACUUUCACUCGCUUUGGAGCUUGCGGCGGCGCCUGCCGGUGAAGCAGCAUUCUUAGUUUGACCUCGGAUCAGGUAGGGAUACCCGCUGAACUUAA
Molecule: unclassified non-coding RNA, 244 nt
Filed under: uncultured fungus
Lineage: Eukaryota; Fungi
Description: partial contains 5.8S ribosomal RNA, internal transcribed spacer 2, and large subunit ribosomal RNA
Rfam family: 5.8S ribosomal RNA (bases 1-52)
Source: RNAcentral